AAUCAACGCUGGCGGCGUGCCUAACACAUGCAAGUCGAGCGAGAAAAGGGGGCAACUCCCUGAGUACAGCGGCGCACGGGUGAGUAACACGUGGGUAAUCUGCCCUGGAGUGGGGAAUAACACCGGGAAACCGGUGCUAAUACCGCAUACGAUCACGAUGUCUGCGGAUGACGUGAUGAAAGGAGCAAUUCGCUCCAGGAGGAGCCCGCGGCUGAUUAGCUAGUUGGUGAGGUAAUGGCUCACCAAGGCUACGAUCAGUAUCCGGUCUGAGAGGACGGUCGGACACACUGGAACUGAGACACGGUCCAGACUCCUACGGGAGGCUG
This 326-nucleotide ribosomal RNA is filed under the name uncultured Acidobacteriota bacterium. Its description in RNAcentral is "bacterial SSU rRNA". It matches the Rfam family "Bacterial small subunit ribosomal RNA", at positions 32 to 351 of the family's 1533-position model. Lineage: Bacteria; Pseudomonadati; Acidobacteriota. The record is from RNAcentral.